UCGAGCUAAAUGCAGUCGGAGGUAGCACAGAGAGCUUGGUCUCGGGUGAGGAGUGUGGGACGGGUGAGUAAUGUGUGGGGAUCUGCCCGAUAUAGGGGGAUAUCCCCUGUGGACGGUGGGUCAUACCGCGUAACGUCUCAAGAGCAAAGAGGGGGAGCUUCGGGGCUCUCACUAUCGGAUGAGCCCCGAUGGGAUUAGCUAUUAUGCGGGGUAACGGCCCACCUAUGCGACAAUACCUAGCUGGGCUGAGAGGAUGACCAGCCACACUGUAACUGAGACACGGUCCACACUCCUACAGGAGGCGGCACUGGGGAAUAUUGCGCAAUGGGCGCAAGCCUGAUGCACCCAUGUCCCGUGUGUGAAAAAAGCCUUCUGGUUGUAAAGUACUUUCUCCGGGGAGGAAAGCGGUGAGGUUAAUAACCUUACUGAUUGACAUUUCCCGCACAAAAAACACCGGCUAACUCCCUGCCACCACCCGCGGUAAUACACAGAGUGCGAGCGUUAAUCUCAAUUACUGGGCGUAAAGCGCACGCACGCGGUCUGUUAAGUCACAUAUGAAAUCUCCGGGCUUUACCUGUGAGCUGCGUUUGAGAAUGUCACGCUUGAGUCUCUCAGAGAGGGGUAUAGUUCCAGGUGUAGCGCUGAAAUACGUGGAGAUCUGGAGGAAUACAGGUGGCGAAAGCGGCCCCCUGUACGAAGACAGAGACUCUCGUGCGAAAGCGUGUGGAGCACACAGGAUUAUAUACACUGUUAGUCCACACCGUAUACGAUGUCUACAUGUAGGUUGUGCCCCGAGGAGAGUCUCCCCAGCUCACACGUUUGUCGACAGCCUGUGGAGUACACCGCACGGUUUAACUCACAUGUGUUUCAGGGGCGCGCACACGCGCGGUAGCAUGUGUGUUAUAUCUAUGCACGCGCAGAGCUUUCCUACUCUCGACAUCUACAGAAUCUGCACAGAUGCCUAUUG
This 967-nucleotide ribosomal RNA is filed under the name uncultured prokaryote. Its description in RNAcentral is "bacterial SSU rRNA". It matches the Rfam family "Bacterial small subunit ribosomal RNA", at positions 42 to 1015 of the family's 1533-position model. The record is from RNAcentral.